GGCCGAGUACCAGAGUGGUUAAUGGCGGAGACUGCAAAUCUCUCGAUUCAUGGGUUCGAAUCCCAUCUCGGCCU
RNAcentral lists this transfer RNA (74 nucleotides) under Patescibacteria group bacterium. RNAcentral's name for it is "tRNA-Cys". It matches the Rfam family "tRNA". Rfam says of the family: Transfer RNA (tRNA) molecules are approximately 80 nucleotides in length. Their secondary structure includes four short double-helical elements and three loops (D, anti-codon, and T loops). The record is from RNAcentral.